Molecule: ribosomal RNA, 318 nt
Filed under: Candidatus Mycoplasma haematolamae
Lineage: Bacteria; Bacillati; Mycoplasmatota; Mollicutes; Mycoplasmatales; Mycoplasmataceae
Description: bacterial SSU rRNA
Rfam family: Bacterial small subunit ribosomal RNA
Source: RNAcentral
UAGAUUUGAAAUAGUCUAAAUUAAAGGGGCGCCGCAAGGAGCCCUGUGCAUAAAUAGGAAUAUGUCCUAUUAGGUAGUUGGCGGGGUAAAGGCCCACCAAGCCGGUGAUGGGUAGCUGAACUGAGAGGUUGGACAGCCGCAAUGGGAUUGAGAUAUGGCCCAUAUUCCUACGGGAAGCAGCAGUGAGGAAUUUUUCACAAUGGGCGAAAGCCUGAUGGAGCAAUACCACGUGAACGAUGAAGGUCUUCUGAUUGUAAAGUUCUUUUAUUUAGGAAAAAAAGCAGGAUAGGAAAUGAUUCUGUCGUGAUUGUACUAAUU